This 77-nucleotide microRNA precursor is filed under the name Echinops telfairi (small Madagascar hedgehog). Its description in RNAcentral is "miRNA (ENSETEG00000024075.1)". Lineage: Eukaryota; Metazoa; Chordata; Mammalia; Afrosoricida; Tenrecidae. The record is from RNAcentral.
GGAGCGGAGCCCAGCCCUGCGCUGGGCAGGUCUUGAGUCCAGGUGUGGCCUGAGUUGGGCAGGGCCUGUCGAUCUGC